CCUAUCAUGCAGUCGAACGAGCUUCCGUUGAAUGACGUGCUUGCACUGAUUUCAACAAUGAAGCGAGUGGCGAACUGGUGAGUAACACGUGGGAAAUCUGCCCAGAAGCAGGGGAUAACACUUGGAAACAGGUGCUAAUACCGUAUAACAACAAAAUCCGCAUGGAUUUUGUUUGAAAGGUGGCUUCGGCUAUCACUUCUGGAUGAUCCCGCGGCGUAUUAGUUAGUUGGUGAGGUAAAGGCCCACCAAGACGAUGAUACGUAGCCGACCUGAGAGGGUAAUCGGCCACAUUGGGACUGAGACACGGCCCAAACUCCUACGGGAGGCAGCAGUAGGGAAUCUUCCACAAUGGACGAAAGUCUGAUGGAGCAAUGCCGCGUGAGUGAAGAAGGGUUUCGGCUCGUAAAACUCUGUUGUUAAAGAAGAACACCUUUGAGAGUAACUGUUCAAGGGUUGACGGUAUUUAACCAGAAAGCCACGGCUAACUACGUGCCAGCAGCCGCGGUAAUACGUAGGUGGCAAGCGUUGCCGGAUUUAUUGGGCGUAAAGCGAGCGCAGGCGGUUUUUUAAGUCUGAUGUGAAAGCCUUCGGCUUAACCGGAGAAGUGCAUCGGAAACUGGGAGACUUGAGUGCAGAAGAGGACAGUGGAACUCCAUGUGUAGCGGUGGAAUGCGUAGAUAUAUGGAAGAACACCAGUGGCGAAGGCGGCUGUCUAGUCUGUAACUGACGCUGAGGCUCGAAAGCAUGGGUAGCGAACAGGAUUAGAUACCCUGGUAGUCCAUGCCGUAAACGAUGAGUGCUAAGUGUUGGAGGGUUUCCGCCCUUCAGUGCUGCAGCUAACGCAUUAAGCACUCCGCCUGGGGAGUACGACCGCAAGGUUGAAACUCAAAGGAAUUGACGGGGGCCCGCACAAGCGGUGGAGCAUGUGGUUUAAUUCAAGCUACCGAAAACCUUACCAGGUCUUGACAUCUUCUGCCAU
Molecule: ribosomal RNA, 979 nt
Filed under: Leuconostoc fallax
Lineage: Bacteria; Bacillati; Bacillota; Bacilli; Lactobacillales; Lactobacillaceae
Description: bacterial SSU rRNA
Rfam family: Bacterial small subunit ribosomal RNA
Source: RNAcentral